RNAcentral lists this small RNA (110 nucleotides) under unclassified sequences. RNAcentral describes it as "LOOT RNA". It matches the Rfam family "LOOT RNA". From Rfam's summary of the family: Latescibacteria, OD1/Parcubacteria, OP11, TM7. Lineage (Microgenomates, aka OP11) The record is from Rfam by way of RNAcentral.
GACCUAAACCAGAAGUGGCAAGGUCAUCAAAUCUACAACGAAGAACAGCUCGUCAUUGGGUACUCUUCGUUGUAGUUGUAGCUGGAAACGGCUACAGGGGCGCAAGCUCC